Molecule: ribosomal RNA, 509 nt
Filed under: uncultured bacterium
Lineage: Bacteria
Description: bacterial SSU rRNA
Rfam family: Bacterial small subunit ribosomal RNA
Source: RNAcentral
AACGAACGCUGGCGGCGUGCUUAACACAUGCAAGUCGAACGAUGUCUGCUUUGUAGCAAUACAAAGUAGGCAUAGUGGCGCACGGGUGCGUAACACGUGAGUAAUCUGCCUCCGAGACUGGGAUAACCUGCCGAAAGGCGGGCUAAUACCGGAUGAGACCACGACUCCUUUGGGGUUGGGGUCAAAGAUGGCCUCUAUUUAUAAGCUAUCACUUGGAGAUGAGCUCGCGGCCCAUCAGCUAGUUGGCGGGGUAAUGGCCCACCAAGGCUAUGACGGGUAGCUGGUCUGAGAGGACGACCAGUCACACUGGAACUGAGACACGGUCCAGACUCCUACGGGAGGCAGCAGUGGGGAAUAUUGCGCAAUGGGCGAAAGCCUGACGCAGCAACGCCGCGUGGGUGAUGAAGGCCUUCGGGUCGUAAAGCCCUGUCAACAGGGAAGAAACUUCGGGGAGCGAAUAGGUCUCCGAAUUGACGGUACCUGUGGAGGAAGCACCGGCUAACUCCGUG